RNAcentral lists this ribosomal RNA (248 nucleotides) under Salmonella enterica subsp. enterica serovar Typhimurium var. 5-. Its description in RNAcentral is "partial 23S ribosomal RNA". It matches the Rfam family "Bacterial large subunit ribosomal RNA", at positions 561 to 709 of the family's 2925-position model. Lineage: Bacteria; Pseudomonadati; Pseudomonadota; Gammaproteobacteria; Enterobacterales; Enterobacteriaceae. The record is from RNAcentral.
UACGUACAAGCAGUGGGAGCCCCACCACCAAAGCAUUCUCUGGUGUUGAAGGCCCUGCAAAGCAGCAUCGCGGUGGCGGAGCGUCGUUUGCGACGCCCAACACACAAAACAAGCGGUGAAUGCUUUGGGGUGGGGUGACUGCGUACCUUUUGUAUAAUGGGUCAGCGACUUAUAUUCUGUAGCAAGGUUAACCGAAUAGGGGAGCCGGAGGGAAACCGAGUCUUAAUUGGGCGUUAAGUUGCAGGGUA